UGCAGGUGAGUAAAUUUUGUAGCCUUACUAGUUCCCGUCGUUGAAAUUAAAUUUUUCAACAAUUUUGCCGGUAAUGGCUGUUUUCUAGUGAAAUCGACGUCCUGUAUAAUUUUUAUUAUUCGUUAUCGGUCGCUGUAGAAACAACAUCAAGCGAUUGAUUAAAAACGACGAACAUCAUCCGAUUCCCGGAUUCAAAUCGCUCGAAUCCGACGGAAAAAUAACAAUAUAUGGCAGGAAAAACUUCAACGAACAAAGCCUGGGAUCAACAGUUGCAACCAAGCAAUGCUGCUCCGUGUCUACGUUGAUAAUCAAUAUUUCACCAGGCACAUCAUCAUAAUAAAAUUGUAAUAAUUGCAAAAAUAAAAUAGAAUUCAAUGAAA
This is a long non-coding RNA of Malaya genurostris, 380 nucleotides long. RefSeq lists it as uncharacterized. The record is from RefSeq and is a predicted model, not a curated record. The transcript has 2 exons. NCBI's taxonomy places the organism in Eukaryota, Metazoa, Arthropoda, Insecta, Diptera, Culicidae.